UACGUAUGGUGCAAGCGUUAUCCGGAUUUACUGGGCGUAAAGGGAGCGCAGGCGGCGCGCCAAGUCUGAUGUGAAACCCCGGGGCUCAACCCCGGGACUGCAUUGGAAACUAUGUAACUAGAGUACCGGAGAGGUAAGCGGAAUUCCUAGUGUAGCGGUGAAAUGCGUAGAUAUUAGGAGGAACACCAGUGGCGAAGGCGGCUUACUGGACGGAAACUAACGUUGAGGCUCGAAAGCGUGGGGAGCAAACAGG
Molecule: ribosomal RNA, 253 nt
Filed under: uncultured bacterium
Lineage: Bacteria
Description: partial 16S ribosomal RNA
Rfam family: Bacterial small subunit ribosomal RNA
Source: RNAcentral